AUCCCUGUGGCUCAGUUGGUAGAGCAUGGUGUUUUCAACGCCAGCAUGGUGUGUGCAAUGCCAGGGUUGUGGGUUCGAUUCCCACGGGGGGCC
Salmo salar (Atlantic salmon) is the source of this 93-nucleotide non-coding RNA. NCBI's taxonomy places the organism in Eukaryota, Metazoa, Chordata, Actinopteri, Salmoniformes, Salmonidae. The record is from Rfam.